UGGGAAAUUUUGGACAAUGGGCGAAAGCCUGAUCCAGCAAUGCCGCGUGUGUGAAGAAGGCCUUCGGGUUGUAAAGCACUUUUGUCCGGAAAGAAAUCCUUGGCUCUAAUACAGUCGGGGGAUGACGGUACCGGAAGAAUAAGCACCGGCUAACUACGUGCCAGCAGCCGCGGUAAUACGUAGGGUGCAAGCGUUAAUCGGAAUUACUGGGCGUAAGCGUGCGCAGGCGGUUUGCUAAGACCGAUGUGAAAUCCCCGGGCUCAACCUGGGAACUGCAUUGGUGACUGGCAGGCUAGAGUAUGGCAGAGGGGGGUAGAAUUCCACGUGUAGCAGUGAAAUGCGUAGAGAUGUGGAGGAAUACCGAUGGCGAAGGCAGCCCCCUGGGCCAAUACUGACGCUCAUGCACGAAAGCGUGGGGAGCAAACAGGAUUAGAUACCCUGGUAGUCCACGCCCUAAACGAUGUCAACUAGUUGUUGGGGACUUCAUUUCCUUAGUAACGUAGCUAACGCGUGAAGUUGACCG
This 523-nucleotide ribosomal RNA is filed under the name uncultured bacterium. RNAcentral's name for it is "partial 16S ribosomal RNA". It matches the Rfam family "Bacterial small subunit ribosomal RNA", at positions 355 to 871 of the family's 1533-position model. The record is from RNAcentral.